UGGGGAAUUUUGCACAAUGGGGGAAACCCUGAUGCAGCGACGCCGCGUGAUUUAGAAGGCCUUCGGGUUGUAAAAAUCUUUUUUAUGGGAUGAAAAUGACAGUACCAUAAGAAUAAGGUCCGGCUAAAUACGUGCCAGCAGCCGCGGUAAUACGUAUGGACCGAGCGUUGUCCGGAAUCAUUGGGCGUAAAGGGUACGUAGGCGGCCCAGUAAGUUAGAAGUGAAAUAAUAUAGCUCAACUAUAUAAAGCUUUUAAAACUGCUAGGCUUGAGAGAUGGAAGGGAAAGUGGAAUUCCUAGUGUAGCGGUGAAAUGCGCAGAUAUUAGGAAGAAUACCGGUGGCGAAGGCGACUUUCUGGUCAUCAUCUGACGCUGGGGUACGAAAGCGUGGGUAGCAAACAGG
RNAcentral lists this ribosomal RNA (402 nucleotides) under Bacteroidota bacterium. RNAcentral describes it as "Bacteroidetes bacterium partial 16S ribosomal RNA". It matches the Rfam family "Bacterial small subunit ribosomal RNA", at positions 355 to 776 of the family's 1533-position model. Lineage: Bacteria; Pseudomonadati; Bacteroidota. The record is from RNAcentral.